Molecule: ribosomal RNA, 783 nt
Filed under: Bothus robinsi (twospot flounder)
Lineage: Eukaryota; Metazoa; Chordata; Actinopteri; Pleuronectiformes; Bothidae
Description: partial 12S ribosomal RNA
Rfam family: Bacterial small subunit ribosomal RNA
Source: RNAcentral
CAAAGGCUUGGUCCUGGCCUUACUGUCGGCUCUAGUUAAAAUUACACAUGCAAGUAUCCGCACCCCUGUGAGGAUUCCCAUAGUCCUCUGUAUGAGGACAUGGAGUGGGCAUCAGGCACAGCCCCCUGCGGGCUAGACUAGCCCAAGACGCCUUGUUCAGCCACACCCUCAAGGGUAGUCAGCAGUGAUAGACCUUAAGCCAUGAGCGAAAGCUUUACUCAGUUAAGACUAAGAGGGCCGGUGAAACUCGUGCCAGCCACCGCGGUUAUACGAGAGGCCCAAGUUGACAGACAGCGGCGUAAAGAGUGGUUAGGGAGCCGAAUGCACUAAAGCCGAAAGCCCUCAAGGCUGUGAUACGCCUCUUCGACGGCACGAAGACCUACUACGAAAGUGGCUUUACUUCGCCUGACCCCACGAAAGCUGAGGAACAAACUGGGAUUAGAUACCCCACUAUGCUCAGCCCUAAACAUUGAUUGAAUUUAACUACUUCAAUCCGCCCGGGAAUUACGGACAUCAGUCUAAAAACCAAAGGACUUGGCGGUGCUUUACAUCCCCCUAGAGGAGCCUGUUCUAUAACCGAUAACCCCCGUUAAACCUCACCCUCCCUUGCUUUAUCCACCUAUAUACCACCGCCGCCAGCUUACCCUGAGAAGGACAAGUCGUGUGCAGAAUUGGCAAAGCCCAAGACGUCAGGUCGAGGUGUAGUGAAUGGGAGGGGAAGANAUGGGCUACAUUUGCUGAACCGAAGCAAAUACGGAUGUUCUCAUUGAAAUAUGAAACUGA